ACUUUAAGCAUUGCCAUAAAGUCACCUAUUGCAACACUUUAUUGGGAAAUAAAGACUAUUGCAACGGUUUUAGUUUAUUCCCUGCCAAAUUUUUCACUUAAAUCCAAAGAAAAAAGGCUAUUGCAAAGGUUAAUUCAUUAAGUCUAAACCAAAAAUAAAAAUUUCAGUAAGUGCGAAAUCGACCAAUUCUCUCAAAUCGACCACCAUACUCCUACCACCAUUACACUGCUCCGAUCGCCGUACCAUUGUUUCGACCACCGUACCACUACUCUGAUCACCGUACCACGAUUUCGAAGCUGCUCCAACCACCACAUCAAGAAGCCAAAAAGUGUGACCACUGCUGCUCCGACUUCAGCUCCUCCAGUGCUCCGACUUCACAAAUUUAAAGUUUUCUUCUUUAAUUUGGUGAUUUUAAGUUACUUGUUGAUCUUGGAUUGAACAAAUUGGAGGACCAACAAGCUUACAACCCUCCUAAUUCCUUACAUUUUCUUGAGUCUCCCUUCUUUACUCUUUGGUUGGUUCAGUUUGUGAAUAUGGAGUUCCUGUGACUUUUCCCAUAGAAGGUUGCCUUUGCUAUUAGCUUCUGCAAUCACUUAUGGUUACAUAUACCAGCCUGCGGAUUCUUCUCCAAAUAAAGCCAGAUUACUUCUCAAGUUAUAGUUAGAUCUAAAAUUUCAGCGUGUAUAGAUUCUCUCGAAGGUGAAUGGAUGUUGAGGUUGAUAACGGGAAGACCAUGGCCAAGUGGAUUUGGAUCAGGUAUCACUGUUGAGCAAGUUACAAGCUCCAAUCUUACUACUAUUGUUACAGAUAGUAGCGCAAGUUCUAUUUGCUCUGUCAAUACCAAGCAACAAGCAGACAUUGUUGCUUUCCACCUUCAAAGUGUUGAUACCCAUUCUUUUCCUAGGAGAUAGAAUGGUGACAAACUCCUUGGCAUCAAUUUCAUACAAGUUGCUGCCGAUUAUGUGAAGGUGGUCGAGGCAUUCUUCAUGAAGAAAAUCCAUGUUCCAGUCCAAAUAGAACAAUAGAUGCUUCCGCUGAUACAUAUGGUGAAAGUGGGUGUUUGUCUUGCACUCCUUGUAUUAUCUUUUAGUACCAAGAAGGCUGGUGAACUUAAGUCUAAUUAUUGAGGACUGUUUUCUGAAAGUAAAUUGGGAUCCCCUUAUGAGAAUUGAUCUUUUCCCGACCAAAGUGCUACGUGCUACGAUGCUGAAGAGACGAUUUGCUGGCACCAUCAUCAAAACGAAACAGAAAUCCCUUCCACUUGAUGUAAUGCCUUGCCUUUUCCUCAUAGAGCUUGUUGCAUACAUUAUUUAAAUUUAAUUUGAUUUGUCACAAUUGUUUUAUUUUUUAAAAAUCAGGGUGAUAGGGCUGAUUUACAUAGAAUGCAGCAGAAAAGAGCACAACUGAAAAAUAUUGAUGUUUUGAAGUGGGAAUUGUUGCUAUUGUUGGUUAUUUUAGAUUGAUUUUAAUGGCAAAAAAUUUCCCAUUCUGUUUUUC
Capsicum annuum is the source of this 1497-nucleotide long non-coding RNA. RefSeq lists it as uncharacterized. The record is from RefSeq and is a predicted model, not a curated record. NCBI's taxonomy places the organism in Eukaryota, Viridiplantae, Streptophyta, Magnoliopsida, Solanales, Solanaceae. The transcript has 8 exons.